CUACGGGUGGCUCCAGUGAGGAAUAUUGCACAAUGGGGGGAACCCUGAUGCAGCAACGCCGCGUGGAGGAUGACGCAUUUCGGUGUGUAAACUCCUUUUAUAUGUCAAGAAAAUGGCGGUGGCAUAUGAAUAAGCACCGGCUAACUCCGUGCCAGCAGCCGCGGUAAUACGGAGGGUGCAAGCGUUACUCGGAAUCACUGGGCGUAAAGGACGCGUAGGCGGGUUGGAAAGUCAGGUGUGAAAUCCUACAGCUUAACUGUAGAACUGCACUUGAAACUUCUAAUCUAGAGUAUGGGAGGGGGAGAUGGAAUUAGUGGUGUAGGGGUAAAAUCCGUAGAUAUCACUAGGAAUACCUAAAGCGAAGGCGAUCUCCUGGAACAUUACUGACGCUAAGGCGUGAAAGCGUGGGGAGCAAACAGGAUUAGAUACCCGAGUAGUC
RNAcentral lists this ribosomal RNA (439 nucleotides) under uncultured bacterium. Its description in RNAcentral is "partial 16S ribosomal RNA". It matches the Rfam family "Bacterial small subunit ribosomal RNA", at positions 339 to 795 of the family's 1533-position model. The record is from RNAcentral.